CCAUUUCCUAUUCAAAAUGCUCCAGUCGGACUCGAGUUGGAUCUAUCUUGUCAAAGUUGUGGAACACAUGCUAUUUUUUGUGUCAAACUGGAUCAUCAUGGAGAUUCUUUUCCUACGCUGUAGCCUAAUUAAUUUGACUAUGUCCAUCAAGCAUCUAGUUAGUCGCUAACUAAUUGUGAUCCUUUUUUGUGAAAGGAGAAAACACCUCUGAAGUAGUACAUAAAUUGGGCCCUGGUAAAAUUUUAUAUUUGCUUUCAUCUAGGGUAACCUUGUUUUAUGUGUAUGGGUUUCAAUUAUAUUACUUAUAUCGUGGAAUUGAAGACUGUAGCAACGAGAUCUUUGUCGGGAAAGGGUUUUGAAAUAAGUUUUUGUUUCAGUUGAUGCUUUGUGCUUUUGUGUAUAAAAUCUUCAAAUAUUUAUGCUACUGGAGAUUUCUUAGCUUCUUAUGUAAAGAGCUCAAAUUUGAGCUUCAUGCUUUUACAUUGACGCUGUUCUGUAUUUCUUGCUCUGAUUUCAUGGAAGACUUGAAAAUAGGAAAUUGGUGUGUAAUUUACAUACAUGCGUUACAAUGGUGUUCUGGGCAAGUCCUUCAAAUAGGUAAAAAUGUAUAUCUAGGUUUAUGUUAGAAAUUCUUGUUAUGUUCUUUUCGUAUUUACUUUUCUAAAUAGUUAUGUACUUUUUGGACGUGCUUCUAGGGUUUUAAAUCUAAUAUCUGUUAAUCAAUCAAGAAUUUGAGGGAGAUUAAAAUUGUUGAAGUCAUACAUCUUUAAAUUGGGAUGACAGGUAAAAUCAUAUUGUUGGAUUUUAAAAUUUUCUUGUGGUUAGCUUUGACAUUUGUCCUAAAAUUUGAAUUUACGGAAUUUGUAUGGCUUGACAUCUAUGUAUCUAUUGAUAUUCACGCCUUGUUAUCUUUUAUGUUAAAUUUCCAAAUCUAUCAAGCAUCUGAGUGAUUUAAAAUUAGCUUUAGAAUUGGUGAAGCAAAUUGGUUGCACACGUUGAGGAUGAAGCACAUACAUAGAUUUCAUUAUUAUUUAAGCAAAGGGCAUGUGGAAGUAUUAGUCAUCUACAGAAGGAGAUUUAUCAAAAAUUGGAUAGUUUUCCAGAGCGUUUUUAUUUUUUUACUUAACAUAAUAAAAACAUAAGAAUAGGAUGAGCAAGAAACCAUGACAUCUUGGUGAUUGCCAUAUGAUAUAAGGCACAUCGACUAGAGAAAUUUAAUUUUAAGGUUUAAGAUCAUUUCUUGCAUUUUAUGCCAUGAACUUAGAAUUCAAUUUGCUAUCGUAUGACUUUGAAGAAUUGUUUGUUCGGUGGCAAAAAUCAAUCCAAGAAAUGUAUUUGGUUCUAGAAUUAAACUAUUUCAUUCUCCUCUUGUUUAUUUCAUUGCCUUUGUUAUUAGGUAGGUCUUUAUUUUAUGACGACAAUUUUGUUAUUUAUUUUCUUAAAAAGCUGAAAAUAGUCCUUAUGUUCUAUAAUUCUUUGUGGUUAAUCCUGGACCGAAUCUUUGUUUUGUCCACAGAAUACACAAGUCCACGGAUUUUAUGAUGAAUGCCUACAGAAGUGAGUUCAUUAAGUCCAAUCCUGAUUUGCAUCAAAAGUUAUUUUCAUUUACUUAUAUUUUUCAUACCUAAUUGUAUCUGGUUAAUUUAAUAAUAGAUUGAGAAGAUUGUUAUAAUUUGCAUCAAACCAAGAUUAGUAUAUUUUAAAGAUGAAAAACAAGGAGUUUUAUUCCUUAGUAAUGAGAUCUCAGAGAAAUUGGAUGAACUAUAUUGACAAAUUAUUUAAAGAAAGGCGUGGCAUGGAUAUUUGGUAUUUGACGAAGUCCACUAUAGCUAGGAGUUUUAUUAUACUAUAAGAAUUCAAUCUUUAUUGGGGAUUAAUUGUAUAAAGAGGACAAAGAUGAUAAAAAUAAAUAAAUAAAUAAAUUAUCCUCGAUGGAAUUAGAAAUGUUUGAGCGAGGUGGGUAUUUUAUGUCUAUAAUAGAGAAUCACUUUUGAUUAUGCUUCUGUUUCUAUUAUUAUUGAUUUGCUUUUGAGAUAAUAAAUAACAAUGUUGACGAACCUCAUCCUUUCAUCAAACAGGCUAUCUUCAGCAAUUUUUAUUGCAAAAGAAGAAGCCACCAAAACAGGACAAUGAGCUUCCAUUAUGUAGCAUUGAUUACACUUCCUUAAGUUCUUAGUCUAAUGAUUCAUUUUGUUGUGACAAAUAAAUACUUCUCGAAAUAUAUUUUAGUUUGUUACAAUUCACAACUUCGUUGGCAAGGAAAGAUAUAUUUGAUUUGGGAUAAUUUUAAUUUCCUAUAUAAUGAUAUUUGUGCUUUAGUUAUACAUGGAAAAGGCUAUGUACAUAAUGUCCUUUCGUUUCCUUUAUCAACUCAGCAGACAUCUACCUACUGUGAUAAUGAAAUAACACUUUUGGCUAUUAGAAGUGGGUAUGCUGGCUAGGUGUUUGUGCAUGCCUCUUGUUUCUAUUUACAUUGGGGAGAUCAUCGAGCAAGGAAGCCUCUUAUGUCUGACACCUAUAAGGUAGUUGUCUUUAUUUUGUUGCCCUACCGUUGCACGUGGGAGAUAAUUUUUCCUCUGUUAUAGUAUCUAUUAUUUUGUUAAGUAUUUAUUUUUAUUCAAUCAGCUAACUAGGGAAUGUGACAUUUGAGAGAUAAAUUUAGGUUUUCAGUUUUUUUUUUCCUAGUUUUGUAGGAGGCUGGUUUGGAAUAAAUAAAAAGUUGGGUUUAGCUUACUUUCAACCUAAAAGUGAAUUUAUAUGUUGCGUGGGAUAGAUCCUUGCUAUUAGACAUACACCUCUGAGUACAAUUUUUUUAGCUAUCUACCUUUUGGGAAUAUAACUAUUUAUCACCACUUGUUAGUUCGUCACUGGUAAUCAAAUUUGUAUUCUACUUUCAAAGAUGAACAAUAGAACCCUAGAUUCUACUUCAUUGCGAGAGUGAACAUUUUCUCACCAUCACAAUUCUUUAUGACAUGGGUAGUAUCAUUUGGCUACAGUCUAAGCCUCCUUAAGAAGAGGUAUUCCUUUUGUCGUUCAUUUACUUAGCUUUCAAAUUUAUGGUACCAUGUCGAUUCUAAUUUAUUUGAAGUGUCUCGAUCAUGAACAGAAAAAGGGGUUUCGCUUGUUAUGGCAGUUGCACGCUUUCAAAGGGCAUACAUCAAUCCUCUGAUCAAGUUGGCCAUUCACUUCGACUAUGCAUGUCCCCCAUUAGCUUUAUUGGUUUUUGAGUUCUUUUUUAAAUCCAUUGCUACUAGAAACGUAGGAUAUGUUUCUUGAAUUUCUUGUUGGUUGCUUUGCAAUUAUAUUAUGACUUUAUUUUAUACAUUGGCUUGCAUUUGGUGCACAACAUAAUUUUUCGUUCUUAAUACUUUUUUAUUCUUCUUUUUCAUGUCAUUUAUGUUGGGAAAUUGGAUUUCAAUGAGAUCAUUGUUUCUCUUUGAUUUCAAUGUUGUUGCAUAUUUAUCAUAGAUUUAAUUGUUUGAUUUUUCAAUAGGUUCAUAUAUUGUUAAAGUAGAUGUGUACUAAAUUCUUUAAGCACUCUCAUUGUCUCGCAUGUAACAAAUUCUUUUAAUGAACCCACAUGUAAAUUUCUUUGUUCACAUUGAUUUUUCCUCUACGAUCUAUCUGUGGUUUAUUGUGCUGUAAAAUCUCAGUGUAUUGUGUUUUUUGGAUUUGGUUUAGCUGGCAAAUAUUUCUCUUCCAAUUGCACACAUUCUUUAAAAAGUAUUUUAUCAUUUAUGGAAAGAAUGAUAUACUUUAUUGCAUUUUGUGGUUUAGGUUCACUAGCAAGACUUUGUACGCUUUGUUGUUUUGCUUUUGAUUAUUGCUUUGAUCGUCCUUGAAUUUAACAAUUUGUUUUGUUGAGAUGACAGGCAACACAGUUGCUGCUCUCAUGGCUCAUCUUUGCUCAAGAAACUGAGGUGAAAUGUAAGAUUAAUACUAUAAAUAAGUGAACAUUCAUGGAAAUGUCUAUUGGUGUAAACUUAUCUUUAUAUGCUUCAUCAACCAUAGAAAAUGUUUAGUUCCCAAGCAUUCACUAUACACAUUUAACGGUCAACGUAGAAACACUUUCAAGGCAUAUUUGCUACAUGACUAGGUAGAUACAAAUUGCUAGCUUCUUCAUUUCCCUAAUUAUUGCCCACAUUUACUAAAUGAGUCAUUAUAAAGUAAGAAAAUAAAGAACCAAUAUCUGUUUCUUCAUGUUGCGAUCGUGAUAAUAAAAAUGGCAAAUAAGAACUCAAGAUCGAAGGCUAAGGUAAAACAUCAUAUCUCUAUCAGAUUUGAAAUAAUCCAACUUUCUAUUAGUAAUUCAGCCAAUUAGUCCAAUUUAUUCAGGAAGAUUUACUGAUGUUAUUUGUUAUGUAAAGUACAACCUAUACUCGCUUUAGCCAGAUAAGUAAAUCUCUAGAGAGAAAAUAUUAAAAAAGGAAUUAGCAUAAUGUAGAGAUAUUUGGGGAGCUGAGGAAACAGAGAGAGGAAAACAGAAUAAAAAAUUCACUAUCAAAAUAGUGGACAAAUUUAAGUUUUAGAGCUAUGCUUAAAUUAUCACAUGUUAAGGGCUUCCUCUGCUCUCUAUAUAUUUCAUUUUUAACCUACAAAUGAACAAACAAUUACCUUCAAGUUUUGAAACUCAAAUUUGCUCUUUUAAUGCAGGACAUACAAGUGCAGAUGAGACGUUAAGGAGAAUUAGGGUAUCCAUCAUGUUCAAAAAUUAACGGAACCUGCAGAUUUUCAAGAAUUGGUGAAUUCCAGCAUUACGACAAGGUAAUUAAUGUAAUAUUUAAAUUACACUUCAAAGUAUAUUCUUUUUGUUUGUCUAUUUCCUAGAUUGAAUCAUAUUUGUGACAGUAUUUAGUUAUGUUCAUUGCACGUCUUACCAUGUAGGUGUACAAACAUGAACCAGGAAGCCGCAAUUCCUUUUGCUGUCAUUGUACACGAGCUUUUAAAUAUUUUUUUUUUUUUUAAAGUUAAAGGAGGGCGGUACCUCCAAGAUUUUAUUAAUUUGCCCUCACUUGUGACGGAAGAAUACCGUGGUUGCAUAUGGAAAAAUGAAAGCAAUAAAUGAGAAAGACUACUUCCCUUACAAUAAUUGAAAAUGCUAAAGAAAAUGUGUUAAGCGGUAAAAAAUGAAGUACUACUUCCCUUACAAUAAGAUUUGAUGCAAUUAAAGACAAAAAGUAAAAACAACUAAAACUAAAAAUUAAAAUAGAAUUACCAUUCACAUUCUAACAUUGGGCAGUCCAUGUCUAUCAAUUUGUGCGAGUGCUCGAAUAUGACGUGGUAGGUCAGAUGAUCCAUACAUUUGAUAUCGCCGGUGCUCCCAACCUAUUGCGGCAAGAGCGUCUGCAACUUGGUUUUCCUCUCUACAGAUAUGGGUAACUCUGUCUCUAUCGAAGGAGAUGAUGUCUGCAAUCUUUCUGAGUAUGCCUCCUUCAUCUUUUGUGAUGCAAUAAAUGGCUGCACUGGAAUCUGCCUCAACCCAAAUGUCUAAAAAUCUAAGGCCCCUAGCCAAUAGUAUCCCAUCAAGAAUAGCCUUCUAGUAUCUUACAUUGUUCAUACAAUGUUGAGAAUGCCCUUAUGCAUUUUCCUGUGUGGUCUCUGACGAUACCUCCCCCGCUCGCAAAGUCAUCCUUGAAGUUUUUAAACUUGAAGGUAUGUCAACUUCUAUUUAAGUUUGUAAAUUCAUUUGGAUACUUAUUCCUUAGCUUUUGAAAUAGUCAAGCAUGAGAACGCAUGUAGUUGUUUUGAUCACUUACGAAGUUUGCAAAGAAUUUUGAAGUAGAAUGGAAUCCCUUAUAUUAAUUCAGAAAGCUCAAUGGGCUCCAAUAAUUCUAAAUCGCUCUCCCCUGAAUGCAGGGCAACACUCUGACAUUGUAACUAUCCAAAGGAAAGAAAGACAUGUAACAAUAAGAAUACUUUUACUAGAGUUUCGAAUUCACCAGUAGCAAUGGUCGUACUAAGCUUUUCCCUUUAAAUGAAAAUAUUCAUCAGGGAAUGGAAAUGGUAAUGUCUUAAUCCAAUAGUAUGAAAUUCUUUUACAAGAUCAAUUCAAAUUGGCACCCUAGCCAUGGGCAAUAGACAUGCUAUAAUGGCCACAACAAUUGGUCAUUUAUUUAUAGUAUUUCACCAGAAAAUUGAAUCUUUCCUUUUGGUCUUCAUCUUCAAGAUGGUUAUAAUCCGUUUUUAGAACUCAAUUUAAGUGCUGGGAAGAUGAUUACAGGUAUCAAGCACUUGAAUUCAAAAUGAGAAAGGUCAAGUAUAGCACAUGGCCAACUUAUGCUCUUUCCCUACAAUAUGAGAAAUUGCUUAAUGCAAAAGAUGGACUUCAAAUUACUGUGGCAUUAUUGCAGGAGAUGUUUAUGUCGCUGUAGAAAGUACUUCGAUUUUUUGCCCAGGUCUGAAGCAUAUUGCUGCAACAUUGUUUUCUUCAGUUUGGGAGUUCUAUCUAUCUAUUUAUUUAUUAAACUGCUUUAUAGCUAUGGUUGGUCCUCCAGUAUUUGGGUUGAUAUGUUAGGAGUCGCUUCGAAAAAGAGGAGCUACAACAAAGUUUUGGAGAUUACAAAUGAUUAAGAGGAAAAAAACCAAGUGUUCAAGACAUCAAAUAUCCAAUCAAUAUAAUAAAAGUGGUAGAUUCAAAUGUGAGUGAGCUGAAGUCAUUGGAUGUACCGUGGAUCAUGUGGUAAUUUUAGAUUCUCUUCUAUAGGUCUACUAUUGCCCGUUCUAUGUAAUAUCAGAACCAUCAAAUUUCAGAGUUAUUUCAAUAUCUUUAAUAGCAACAUGUUAAACUGACU
RNAcentral lists this long non-coding RNA (6791 nucleotides) under Olea europaea subsp. europaea. Lineage: Eukaryota; Viridiplantae; Streptophyta; Magnoliopsida; Lamiales; Oleaceae. The record is from RNAcentral.